This 440-nucleotide ribosomal RNA is filed under the name uncultured bacterium. Its description in RNAcentral is "partial 16S ribosomal RNA". It matches the Rfam family "Bacterial small subunit ribosomal RNA", at positions 338 to 795 of the family's 1533-position model. The record is from RNAcentral.
CCUACGGGUGGCAGCAGUGGGGAAUAUUGCACAAUGGGGGAAACCCUGAUGCAGCGACGCCGCGUGAGCGAUGAAGUAUUUCGGUAUGUAAAGCUCUAUCAGCAGGGAAGAAAAUGACGGUACCUGACUAAGAAGCCCCGGCUCACUACGUGCCAGCAGCCGGGGUAAUACGUAGGGGGCAAGCGUUAUCCGGAUUUACUGGGUGUAAAGGGAGCGUAGACGGCGAUGCAAGCCAGAUGUGAAAGCCCGGGGGUCAAACCCGGGAGUGCAUUUGAAACUGUAUGGCUGGAGUGUGGGAGAAGCAGGCGGAAUGCGUGGUGUAGCGGUGAAAUGCAGAGAUAGUGGGAAGAACGCCGGUGGCGAAGGCAGCCUACUGGACGAAGACUGACGUUGAGGCACGAAAGCGUGGGGAGCGAACAGGAUUAGAUACCCUUGUAGUC